Molecule: transfer RNA, 73 nt
Filed under: Desmophyllum pertusum
Lineage: Eukaryota; Metazoa; Cnidaria; Anthozoa; Scleractinia; Caryophylliidae
Description: tRNA-Arg
Source: RNAcentral
GACGCGGCGGCCUAAUGGUUAGCGCGUUGGACUCCGGAUCGAGCGGUCCUGGUUCGAGCACUGGCUGGGUUCG